UUUGGUUGUCAAGGGAAACAAACUGGACGUUGCAGUCGCAUAUCAACCGUUUUCAGGUAGCUAUUGGACUAGAGAUGUAGGCUAACUCGGGCUUGAUUUAAAAAAAUAAAAAAAAACGUUCAAUUAACUUGCCGAAAUGUUUGCCUGUAAUACUGUCACUUCAAGGACCUCUUCAACGCGUUUACUAAUCGAUAUCCGACUUCUGAAGUGCUGCCGUAACUUUACCGUUAGCAAGUUUGCUAACGUGUGAAACGUAGCCUACCCAGCAAGCAGUAACGUCCUCAAGUUUCCUGCUGGAGUUGGGGCUGUCAAACCAUUCAAGUGGCCCAUGAUGACUGACUGAAAGGACAUUAUGUGAAUUCACUACAAGUCAAAAUCAGAUAAACAGACAGGAACAUCAGCCUUCUUGGUGCCAGAUGGAAAUACUUGAGAAUAGCAAGAAAAACGGUUCAAGUAGGCCCGACAACAGAGAUCACAGACAACCACAAGAAGUGACCCCAGGAGGGCAACAGACCAUAUGUUGGCAGUUUUUGGAAGGCAGGUCCUAGCCACGCAAUCGUAUACCGGAAAACCACCAGUAAAAUUCAACAAAAAAAACCUCAUAAACUACUUCACAAACAAAUUUGAUGUGGACACUUCAAUGAUCAAGCAAGCAAUGGCACAGGACUGUUCAGAUGAGGCAAAAAUGACACCCACACAAUGAUCAAAUAAUGAAAUAAUAAAUAUAUUUCGCAUAUGACCAUUUCA
Molecule: long non-coding RNA, 747 nt
Organism: Engraulis encrasicolus (European anchovy)
Lineage: Eukaryota; Metazoa; Chordata; Actinopteri; Clupeiformes; Engraulidae
Exons: 5
Source: RefSeq, a predicted model, not a curated record